Long non-coding RNA from Dunckerocampus dactyliophorus (ringed pipefish), 640 nucleotides. RefSeq lists it as uncharacterized. The transcript is spliced from 3 exons. The record is from RefSeq and is a predicted model, not a curated record. NCBI's taxonomy places the organism in Eukaryota, Metazoa, Chordata, Actinopteri, Syngnathiformes, Syngnathidae.
GAACACGCGGUAAAAAACAGACAUGUCUUACAGCAGUCCGCCUUAUCUUUAUCUCUGUUUUACUGUUUUGAUGAAUGUUCGGAUGUUUUUCUACAGCGCCCAGUGAGGACUAGAUGACCAGGCACCGGGGUUCCGCAGACUGUUCUCUCACUUGGUACCCAGCUAUGUGAUACCCGGAAGCCCUGCCAGAGCUCCAUCGGACAAUGUACUCUCACAACGAAAGUCUCCUUAAAGAAGGCGUCUCAUCUUCUAUCAAAUAGCCAAUAGCAAGGAUGCAGCCAGUCAUUUUGGACCCCAUGAAAAAAAAAAGACUGGGUGCGAGGCUGGGUACACACUGGACUGGUCACCAACCAAUAACAAAAAGAGACAAAUAACUAUUCACACUAAUGGACAAUAGUCUCCAAUGAACCUAACAUGCAUGUUCUUCGAGUGUGGGAAGAAGCCUGAGUGCCUGGAUAAAACAUGCAAACUCCACACGGAAAUGCCCAAACAGAGAUUCAAACCCUCAAUCGUCUGACUGCGAUCCACUUGUCCACCCUGCGACCCAAUCUGAAAUAAAAUUCUUAAAGCACUCAUUAAAUAGGAGAAUGAUUCAUCACUUGACUCUUGUAUUUUGGACUGAACCUGUUUGCUCUUUUAA